AAAAACUGAAACUAACUUUCCCAAUUUGGAGGUAACCUCACUUGCAGAACAACAAAGGAAGAAUUGCAAGGGUAGGCUGGAUCAGACUGAUCACCUGAACCACCCUCUCCAUGAAUGUGAAUCUUUUGUUCAGGCUGAAGCUGCGGAGCGCCCGAGUGGAACCGGAGAAAGGGGACUCGUUCCUACCACUACUGAGGCCAGCCCAUUAAACCUCAAUUAAAGAAUGAACAGAUAUCUGGGUAUUUGGCUUCUCGGAAUCCUAGGACUGUAAGUAUAAUGUAGCAAAUAAGAGUUACAUCUUUUCUAGUUCCAAUUUAACCUUUAGUUGUAAUUUUAAUUG
Long non-coding RNA from Gavialis gangeticus (Gharial), 340 nucleotides. RefSeq lists it as uncharacterized. NCBI's taxonomy places the organism in Eukaryota, Metazoa, Chordata, Crocodylia, Gavialidae. The record is from RefSeq and is a predicted model, not a curated record. The transcript is spliced from 3 exons.